Non-coding RNA from Nothobranchius furzeri (turquoise killifish), 1332 nucleotides. The record is from the annotation of a RefSeq genome assembly. Lineage: Eukaryota; Metazoa; Chordata; Actinopteri; Cyprinodontiformes; Nothobranchiidae.
UCCUAAACAAAAGAGUCAGUCACCUAAAACACAAAGGUACCAAAGUUGGAGCCCUGAGGAACACCACAGGUCAAAGUGAGUGUUACCCAGGAUCCCUGUGUUUCCAACAGAGAAAAGGAGAUUCUUUAGACUCCUGUUCUGAAACAAGAACAAACCUCCUCACCUCACAGAGAUUUAUAAUGACGCUGAUAGCUGAACCAGGAGGAAGGGGAGCUGAGAGAAGAGAAACUACAGAUGAAGGAGGAGACGGAGAGAUUCAGGGAGGAGCUGAGCUGUUGCUGAACUAUAGAACAGACACAAACUUCCACAUUCAACACAGUUCAACAUACAAACCACAAACAUUCACUCUGUUCAACAUGGACUGUUGUGGGCUUUCUCUGCUGGUUGUCACUAUUCUAACAGGAGUCAGCUGUGAACAGCUGACUGCAGUGAAGAAUGAAGAGUCCAGUUUAGAAGGAGCCUUUGUUACUCUGUCCUACAAUUACUCUAGAGAUGCUGCUAUUGGUGAUUAUUUCUUCUGGUACCGGCAAGAUCCAGGAGAACCUCCAGAGUUCCUGAUCUCUCACACAGGAACAGAAACACUUCUAUUACAGAAAGUGUCUGGACUGACUUUUACUGUGAGUGAUGAUAAAAGACGUGUGGACCUGCUGAUCUCCUCUGCUGCAGCGACAGACUCUGCUGUGUACUACUGUGCUGUGAGGCCCACAGUGACAGGAAACAGUAAAAGUGUGUAGAAAACCUGCAGAGCAAAGACAACACAAUACUCCACAACAUCCACUAGAGGGACUCACACAGUGGGAACCCACUGGUUGUUGAGUUGUUGGACUGAUGACAAAGACAACAGACACACAAAGCAGCAGAAACAAGGUGAAGUUGCAGUAAAGCUGGUGGAGUUUAAGUGGUUCAACAUCUAUAAAUUCUGUUUUAUCCAAAUUCAGAAGCAGGAAAUGAUUUUAAAACCAGCCUCUAACAGUGGAUAGGCAUUUUUCUAGUUUAAUCAAGUUGUAAGGCCUACCCAGAGAGAGAGGGACAGGCAGCAGAAUAACAAUAAAGGUUACAUCAAAUGGACAUAGGAGGCCACCCAAAGGCAGCAGAUAAAUUGAGAACAGCAGUGGGCCCAGUAAAGACUCUUGAGGGACACCAUGCUUCAGCACAAAGGUCUCAGACAUGUCCUUCUGAAUCUGACAUCAUGUGAUCACCCAUACAGUUGAUUUCAGCCAUAAGUGUGUUUCCCGUUACGCUCAUAUAACGUUCAGUAUACCUUCAGCUACACUCGACGGCAUCCCCCGGGUGGCCCUGCGGUGGUGGUGUGUGUCUCUGUGUGUGUGUGUG